CACGUAGUUAGCCGGGGCUUCUUCUGCAGGUACCGUCGAUGUUCUUCCCUGCUGAAAGCGGUUUACAACCCGAAGGCCGUCAUCCCGCACGCGGCGUUGCUGCGUCAGGGUUUCCCCCAUUGCGCAAUAUUCCCCACUGCUGCCUCCCGUAGGAGUCUGGGCCGUAUCUCAGUCCCAAUGUGGCCGUCCACCCUCUCAGGCCGGCUACCGAUCGUCGCUUUGGUGGGCCGUUACCCCGCAACUGGCUAAUCGGACGCGGGCUCAUCCCGUACCACCGGAGUUUUCAAGGCCGGGGCAUGCGCCCCCGCCUGUCAUGCGGUGUUAGCACCUGUUUCCAGGUGUUAUCCCCCGGUAGGGGCCAGAUUGCCCACGCGUUACUCACCCGUCCGCCACUAGGCCGCGUCCCGCCCCGGGUCCGGUAACCUUCCCCGGGCCUUACGCCGGCCCCGUUCGACUUGCAUGUGUUAGGCACGCCGCCAGCGUUCAUCCUGACGCCAGGACUCAAACUCU
Molecule: ribosomal RNA, 510 nt
Filed under: uncultured bacterium
Lineage: Bacteria
Description: partial 16S ribosomal RNA
Source: RNAcentral